Molecule: long non-coding RNA, 1621 nt
Organism: Oreochromis aureus
Lineage: Eukaryota; Metazoa; Chordata; Actinopteri; Cichliformes; Cichlidae
Source: Ensembl
GAGAAUGGUUGUUAAAAACAAAAACUAUUGAUGAUAUAAAUAAUCCACAUGAUGCAGUGAAUUUUACUUUAAGAUAUUUUUCUUUCGUUUCCUUUGUGUAAAAUCCCGGGGAUUACCCUGGUGUCUGUGCUUUCACUUUCACUGUGUUUUUAUUUGCCUGUGAUCUUAUUCAGGCUACAUAAAGCUCGCUGAACACCUCAUAUAAUCAGAUUCCUUCACACACUCACCUGUGCUCUCCAAAGCAGGUAAGGCAAACAGUCUGAUUCAGACUGAAAGUUUAACUUCUUCAUGUGUGGUGAUUGUUGUUGCUGCUUUCAUUGGAGACUCUGGUGAACUGUGUGAUCCACUCUGUGCAUACGUUAUAUCAUAGUUGGAUUAUUGAUCAGCAGACUUUAUGAAGGCUUCAGUUUAACAAGCUGGUGACAUUCAAUUGUUCACAGAGGUUUUCUGUCAUUCAGCUAAACUAUAAAAACCACGUGGACAAAAUAAUAGAAACAGUGAAAAUCUGAGUUGAUGUGUCUUUGUUCACUUUGAAGAUCUUUAAAACAGAAUAAUAUCACUGUGCUACAGCUACACUGGACUUGGUUCUUCUCCAGGUCGCAGAAAGAAGAGCAGCUUUGUGUUCCUGAGCUGAUUAUCGACUAAAUAUGGACAAAGAGGAACUCGAAUUCUUCCGGGCUCUGAGAGCCAUGGCUUUUUUAGAGGCGUUGGAAAUGCAAGCGGAAAUGCUGAAAAGGCUGGCUGCUGCAUGUUGCCCUGAAAGUCCCAGGAGCUCUGCUGAAAGGAAAAGAUUAAUAAACCUUGCAAUAGAAAACUGCAAGGAUGAAACUGUCCUGCAGUGGCUGAGAGAAAAUUCAGAGUCUGGCACCUUCAGAAAACUCUCAGACAUGUUUGAUUUCCUGAAAAGUAAAAUUGAUGAGGAAGAAAAGAAGAACCAUGAUGACACUGUUGACAUAAUCUUUGUGGCACAUGGAGCAAUCAGAGACUCCAUGAUCCCAGCCAAGUGUUUGCUGCCUCUGCCCACCAUCACUGACCUGGUCCUGUACUCUCCCUGGAACUGUGCCACCACACCUGAAGUGACCUAUGGCAUUGCAACAGGAAAAAUGAGGCCACAGCACAGAGUUUUUCACCGAAGACUUCCACUACCGUUUUUUUUCCACGGUGCAAUUGUUGUUCACAACUAUCAACCCCUGAACCUGCCAAACUACUGGAACUCACUGAAGAAAGCUGGAGGACGGAAGAUCCCAAACAUCAUUGUUAGCCCUCUGCAGGAAGAUGAAAGAGUGUGGAAAAAAUUUAAGUCUCUCUCAACAAAACAUGGUCCACCAGGACGAAACCGCAUCGUCAUCCCGUUCAUCCUCCCAGAAGAGAGUGAAAGUGUCCCGUUCUCUGUCGUCGCCUUGGCUCUGUCCCUGGUGCUCCUCUCUUCCAGGUUUAAAGCCACCGUUCACUUUAAUGCCUGUCUGAGUGAUAAGUCUACAGGACAGAAAUGUGACAGGAAGUAUCUGCAGGAGCAGUACUACUGCACUGAAGACAACACUGUGAUGACAUGUUCACCAGAUGCAUUCAGUGUGAACUGGUGGGAUUAUUUUAAGAGUCUGUUUAGUUAGAUGCACUCAUC